GUGUCACUGCACUCCAGCCUGAGCAACAGAGUGAGCCUCUGUCUCUAAACAAUAAAAAAUAAAUGUUUGGCUUAAUAAAUUAUAUUUUGAUGUGGCUGUCAACUUGGGGCUACAGAAUAAGGAAAUACAUCAGUGGGUGGAAGGAGGAGUCUCUACAAAUCUCUGGAAAGGAAAAGUCAUGAAAUAAUAGGUGGGAAACUGGAAAAUGGGUGUUUAAAGAGAAAAAGGAACAUUUUCUUCUUCCUUGGCCUUGGUUUCAAAAAGUCAAGCUGUGCUCAGGGAUGUGUGUGGGUAGAGAAGACGAGAAAUAUAGUCAGGCAACCCUGCAGAACCGUGAGCUCCUUCUCCUCUUCCAGGAUUCUGGGAAGAUGAGGUGGCCUACAGGACCAAGAGACCAAAGCUGUAUCGAGAACCAGAGUUCCCUCUGUUGCCAGUGUCAGUAAGGAAUUCCUCCAUGGGAGUUCCACACUUGAAUAGAGGUUAUGUAAGUGAACAUCACAUAAGAAGAAACAAUCAUACUACAGAAGGUUUUUCUUCACCUUUUUGGUAGCCUGUUUAAAAAACAAAACUUUUAUAUGCUUCAUUCAGGACAUAGGCAUGGGCAAAGACUUCAAGACUAAAACACCAAAAGCAAUGGCAACAAAAGCCAAUAUUGACAAAUGGAAUCUAAUUAAGCUAAAGAGCUUCUGCACUGCAAAAGAACCUAUCAUCAGAGUGAACAGGUAACCUACAGAAUGGGAGAAAAUUUUUGCAAUCUAUCCAUCUGACAAAGGGCUAAUAUCCAGAAUCUAUAAUGAACUUAAACAAAUUUACAAGAAAAAAACAAACAACCCCAUCAAAAAGUGGGCAAAGGAUAUGAACAGACACUUCUCAAAAGAAGACAUUUAUGCGGCCAACAAAUAUAUGAAAAAAAGCUCAUCAUCACUGGUCAUUAGAGAAAUGCAAAUCAAAACCACAAUGAGAUACCCUCUCAUGCCAGUUAGAAUGGCGAUCAUUAAAAAGUCAGGAAACAACAGAUGCUGGAGAGGAUGUGGAGAAAUAGGAAUGCUUUUACACUGUUGGUGGGAGUGUAAAUUAGUUCAACCACUGUGGAAGACAGUGGGGUGAUUCCUCAAGGAUUAGAACCAGAAAUACCAUCUGACCCAGCAAUCCCAUUAUCGCGUAUAUACUCAAAGGAUUAUAAAUCAUUCUACUAUAAAGACACAUGCACACGUAUGUCUACUGCAGCACUAUUCACAAUAGUAAAGACUUGGAACCAACCCAAAUGUCCAUCAGUGAUAGACUGGAUAGAGAAAAUGUGGCACAUAUACACCAUGGAAUACUAUGGAGCCAAAAAAAAGGAUGAGUUCAUGUCUUUGCAGGGACAUGGAUGAAGCUGGAAACCAUCACUCUCAACAAACUAACACAGGAACAGAAAACCAAACACCACAUGUUCUCACUCAUAAGUGGGAGUUGAACAAUGAGAACACAGGGAGGGGAACAUCAUACACUGGGGCCUAUUGGUAGGUGGGGGGCUAGGGGAGGGAUAGCAUUAGGAGAAGUACCUAAUGUAGAUGACAGGUUGAUGGAUGCAGCAAACCACCAUGGCACAUGUAUACCUAUGUAACAAACCUGCAUGUUC
Homo sapiens (human) is the source of this 1621-nucleotide long non-coding RNA. The record is from Ensembl. Lineage: Eukaryota; Metazoa; Chordata; Mammalia; Primates; Hominidae.